RNAcentral lists this ribosomal RNA (253 nucleotides) under uncultured bacterium. Its description in RNAcentral is "partial 16S ribosomal RNA". It matches the Rfam family "Bacterial small subunit ribosomal RNA", at positions 524 to 776 of the family's 1533-position model. The record is from RNAcentral.
GACAGAGGUGCCGAGCGUUAGGCGGAAUCACUGGGCUUAAAGCGUGUGUAGGCGGGCCGUUAAGUGCCCCGUGAAAUCCCCCGGCUCAACCGGGGAACGGCGGGGCAUACUGGCGGCCUUGAGCCACUUAAGGGCAGACGGAACAAGCGGUGGAGCGGUGAAAUGCGUAGAUAUCAUGAGGAAUACCAGAGGCGAAGGCGGCUACCUGGACAAUUGCUGACGCUCAGGCACGAAAGCGUGGGGAGCAAAAGGG